GAUGAACGCUGGCGGCGUGCCUAAUACAUGCAAGUCGAGCGAACAGAUAAGGGGCUUGCUCCUUUGACGUGAGCGGCGGACGGGUGAGUAACACGUGUGUAACCUACCUAUAAGACUGGGAUAAUUUCGGGAAACCGGAUCUUAUACCGGAGAAUAUUUCGAACCGCAUGGUUGGAUGGUGAGAGAUGGUUUUGCUAUCACUUAUAGAGGUACCCGCGCCGUAUUAGCUAGUUGGUAAGGUAACGGCUUACCAAGGCGACGAUACGUAGCCGACCUGAUGGGGUGAUCGGCCACACUGGAACUGAGACACGGUCCAGACUACUACGGGAGGCAGCAGUAGGGAAUCUUACGCAAUGGGCGAAAGCCUGACGGAGCAACGCCGCGUGAGUGAUGAAGGUCUUCGGAUCGUAAAACUCUGUUAUUAGGGAAGAACAUACGUGUAAGUAACUGUGCACGUCUUGACGGUACCUAAUCAGAAAGCAACGGCUAACUACGUG
This 497-nucleotide ribosomal RNA is filed under the name uncultured bacterium. Its description in RNAcentral is "partial 16S ribosomal RNA". It matches the Rfam family "Bacterial small subunit ribosomal RNA", at positions 28 to 507 of the family's 1533-position model. The record is from RNAcentral.